Molecule: ribosomal RNA, 497 nt
Filed under: uncultured bacterium
Lineage: Bacteria
Description: partial 16S ribosomal RNA
Rfam family: Bacterial small subunit ribosomal RNA
Source: RNAcentral
GAUGAACGCUGGCGGCGUGCCUAAUACAUGCAAGUCGAGCGAACAGACGAGGAGCUUGCUCCUCUGACGUUAGCGGCGGACGGGUGAGUAACACGUGGAUAACCUACCUAUAAGACUGGGAUAACUUCGGGAAACCGGAGCUAAUACCGGAUAAUAUAUUGAACCGCAUGGUUCAAUAGUGAAAGACGGUUUUGCUGUCACUUAUAGAUGUAUCCGCGCCGCAUUAGCUAGUUGGUAAGGUAACGGCUUACCAAGUCAACGAUGCGUAGCCGACCUGAGAGGGUGAUCGGCCACACUGGAACUGAGACACGGUCCAGACUCCUACGGGAGGCAGCAGUAGGGAAUCUUCCGCAAUGGGCGAAAGCCUGACGGAGCAACGCCGCGUGAGUGAUGAAGGUCUUCGGAUCGUAAAACUCUGUUAUUAGGGAAGAACAAAUGUGUAAGUAACUAUGCACGUCUUGACGGUACCUAAUCAGAAAGCCACGGCUAACUACGUG